ACCUGGAUAGCUCAGUCGGAAGAGCACGUGACUCUCAGUCUUGUGGUCGUGAGUUCAAGCCCCACACUGGGUA
This 73-nucleotide transfer RNA is filed under the name Ailuropoda melanoleuca (giant panda). It matches the Rfam family "tRNA". From Rfam's summary of the family: Transfer RNA (tRNA) molecules are approximately 80 nucleotides in length. Their secondary structure includes four short double-helical elements and three loops (D, anti-codon, and T loops). Lineage: Eukaryota; Metazoa; Chordata; Mammalia; Carnivora; Ursidae. The record is from Rfam by way of RNAcentral.